GUUGGUAUAGCUCAGUGGUACAGUGUGUGCUUAGCAUGCACGAGGUCCUGGGUUCAAUCCUUAGUACCUCCA
RNAcentral lists this transfer RNA (72 nucleotides) under Camelus bactrianus (Bactrian camel). It matches the Rfam family "tRNA". From Rfam's summary of the family: Transfer RNA (tRNA) molecules are approximately 80 nucleotides in length. Their secondary structure includes four short double-helical elements and three loops (D, anti-codon, and T loops). The record is from Rfam by way of RNAcentral. Lineage: Eukaryota; Metazoa; Chordata; Mammalia; Artiodactyla; Camelidae. RNAcentral also lists the same sequence under 1 other name.